GACAGGGGUCUCGAGCGUUAAUCGGAAUUACUGGGCGUAAAGCGUGCGCAGGCGGUUUUGUAAGUCUGUUGUGAAAUCCCCGGGCUCAACCUGGGAAUGGCAAUGGAGACUGCAAGGCUAGAGUUUGGCAGAGGGGGGUAGAAUUCCACGUGUAGCAGUGAAAUGCGUAGAUAUCAGGAGGAACACCGGUGGCGAAGGCGGCUGCCUGGACUGAUACUGACGCUGAGACACGAAAGCGUGGGGAGCAAACAGG
This 253-nucleotide ribosomal RNA is filed under the name uncultured bacterium. RNAcentral's name for it is "partial 16S ribosomal RNA". It matches the Rfam family "Bacterial small subunit ribosomal RNA", at positions 524 to 776 of the family's 1533-position model. The record is from RNAcentral.